Molecule: long non-coding RNA, 507 nt
Organism: Planococcus citri (citrus mealybug)
Lineage: Eukaryota; Metazoa; Arthropoda; Insecta; Hemiptera; Pseudococcidae
Exons: 3
Source: RefSeq, a predicted model, not a curated record
CGAAAACCAGAUAUAGAAUGGUACAAGAAUGGCGACUCUAUUCGCAAAUCGACGAAGCCAAAUCAAGAAAUAAGCCAAAAUAACACGAUAUUGAAAAUCAAGGACUGUACAGAAAGUGAUUCCGCAAAGUAUAUUUGUGAAAUAUCAGAAACAAAGAUCAUUCCAGGGUUCGGCUCAUCGAUCACCGCUGCAAGGCUCCGUUACAUAGUUCAUUUGGAUAGUGAUCCAUGGUAUUCCAAUUAUUGGUUACAUUUAAUAUCUGUAUCAAUAUUGAUUGGGCUUUUGCUGGCUGGUUUUGUCAUUUAUCAAAUUCAACGAAAGAAAGUGAGAACACGCGAUUCAAAAAAUAAAGUGCCCGAAAAAAUCAAUGUUAUGAUAGCAUAAUUAAAUUGCUCAACUGCAAUUGUAAGUGCUUCUGAAUAUUGUCUCAUCGAAAAUAAGAUGUCAUUUCUUGAACAGGAAACUAUUUCGAAUUCCAAUGUACAAAUUUUUAAAAAAUAAAAUCAU